This 426-nucleotide ribosomal RNA is filed under the name uncultured Actinomycetes bacterium. RNAcentral's name for it is "bacterial SSU rRNA". It matches the Rfam family "Bacterial small subunit ribosomal RNA", at positions 958 to 1385 of the family's 1533-position model. The record is from RNAcentral. Lineage: Bacteria; Bacillati; Actinomycetota; Actinomycetes.
AACGCGAAGAACCUUACCUGGGCUUGACAUGUUCCUGACCGCUGUGGAAACACAGCUUCCCUUCGGGGCAGGAUCACAGGUGGUGCAUGGCUGUCGUCAGCUCGUGUCGUGAGAUGUUGGGUUAAGUCCCGCAACGAGCGCAACCCCCGUCGCAUGUUGCCAGCAUUUAGUUGGGGACUCAUGCGAGACUGCCGGUGACAAACCGGAGGAAGGUGGGGAUGACGUCAAGUCAUCAUGCCCCUUAUGUCCAGGGCUACACACGUGCUACAUUGGCGCGUACAGAGGGUUGCGAUACCGCGAGGUGGAGCGAAUCCCUUAAAGCGCGUCUCGGUUCGGAUUGGAGGCUGAAACUCGCCUCCAUGAAGGCGGAGUUGCUAGUAAUCGCGGAUCAGCACUGCCGCGGUGAAUACGUUCCCGGGCCUUGUA